AAAGGAAUUGACGGGGGCCCGCACAAGCGGAGGAACAUGUGGUUUAAUUCGAUGAUACGCGAGGAACCUUACCCGGGCUCGAACGGCUGAUGAAUAUGGAUGAAAGUCUGUAGUCGCAAGACAUUGGUCGAGGUGCUGCAUGGUUGUCGUCAGCUCGUGCCGUGAGGUGUCGGCUUAAGUGCCAUAACGAGCGCAACCCUUACCGUCAGUUACCAUCAAGUGAAGUUGGGGACUCUGGCGGGACUGCCACCGUAAGGUGCGAGGAAGGUGGGGAUGACGUCAAAUCAGCACGGCCCUUACGUCCGGGGCGACACACGUGUUACAAUGGGGGGGACAAAAAGGAGCUACUUAGCGAUAAGGUGCGAAUCAAUAAACCCUCUCCCAGUUCGGAUUGGAGUCUGCAACCCGACUCCAUGAAGCUGGAUUCGCUAGUAAUCGCGCAUCAGCCAUGGCGCGGUGAAUACGUUCCCGGGCCUUGCACACACCGCCCGU
This 492-nucleotide ribosomal RNA is filed under the name uncultured bacterium. RNAcentral describes it as "bacterial SSU rRNA". It matches the Rfam family "Bacterial small subunit ribosomal RNA", at positions 903 to 1397 of the family's 1533-position model. The record is from RNAcentral.